GAUGAACGCUGGCGGCGUGCUUAACACAUGCAAGUCGAACGGGAAUUAUUUUAUUGAAACUUCGGUCGAUUUAAUUUAAUUCUAGUGGCGGACGGGUGAGUAACGCGUGGGUAACCUGCCUUAUACAGGGGGAUAACAGUCAGAAAUGGCUGCUAAUACCGCAUAAGCGCACAGAGCUGCAUGGCUCAGUGUGAAAAACUCCGGUGGUCUAAGAUGGACCCGCGUUGGAUUAGCUUGUUGGCAGGGUAACGGCCUACCAAGGCGACGAUCCAUAGCCGGCCUGAGAGGGUGAACGGCCACAUUGGGACUGAGACACGGCCCAGACUCCUACGGGAGGCAGCAGUGGGGAAUAUUGCACAAUGGGGGAAACCCUGAUGCAGCGACGCCGCGGGAAGGAAGAAGUAUCUCGGUAUGUAAACUUCUAUCAGCAGGGAAGAUAGUGACGGUACCUGACUAAGAAGCCCCGGCUAACUACGUG
This 478-nucleotide ribosomal RNA is filed under the name uncultured bacterium. RNAcentral's name for it is "partial 16S ribosomal RNA". It matches the Rfam family "Bacterial small subunit ribosomal RNA", at positions 28 to 507 of the family's 1533-position model. The record is from RNAcentral.